Molecule: microRNA, 24 nt
Filed under: Pristionchus pacificus
Lineage: Eukaryota; Metazoa; Nematoda; Chromadorea; Rhabditida; Neodiplogasteridae
Description: ppc-miR-2235c-5p
Source: miRBase by way of RNAcentral
CCACCCAGUCCGCUCGGUCUGAAC